UACGGAGGGAGCUAGCGUUGUUCGGAAUUACUGGGCGUAAAGCGCACGUAGGCGGCUUUUUAAGUCAGGGGUGAAAUCCCGGAGCUCCACUCCGGAACUGCCCUUGAAACUGGGAAGCUAGAAUCUUGGAGAGGCGAGUGGAAUUCCGAGUGUAGAGGUGAAAUUCGUAGAUAUUCGGAAGAACACCAGUGGCGAAGGCGACUCGCUGGACAAGUAUUGACGCUGAGGUGCGAAAGCGUGGGGAGCAAACAGG
This 253-nucleotide ribosomal RNA is filed under the name uncultured bacterium. RNAcentral's name for it is "partial 16S ribosomal RNA". It matches the Rfam family "Bacterial small subunit ribosomal RNA", at positions 524 to 776 of the family's 1533-position model. The record is from RNAcentral.